RNAcentral lists this long non-coding RNA (358 nucleotides) under Nicotiana benthamiana. RNAcentral describes it as "long non-coding RNA (NBEN_LNC008109)". Lineage: Eukaryota; Viridiplantae; Streptophyta; Magnoliopsida; Solanales; Solanaceae. The record is from RNAcentral.
UUUAUUAUAUAUAAAUUCUUUAAGUUUUUUAAAAUAAAAUAUAUAUUUUCGAAAUUAUAUAAAAAGUUUUAUACGUCAUAAUAGUUAACAAUUCAAAAAUAUUUAACUACUAUUUAUAAAAGCAUCUCAUUAAGGGAAGAGUUGUAAGCUUAAGCUAAAUUGUUACCAAAUUUAGAAAUGAUUGAUUCUUUUUGUAACAGACCAAAAAGGAAAUAUGUUCACAUAAACUGAAACAGAUGGGGUAAUUUUCAUUGAAAAUUAGUGGAUAUUAAUAUGUUCUACACGUAUAAAAAAUAUUGAAUUCAGGUACUCCAUUUCAAUUUUGGAACCUUUUUGGACUACGAGGUUUUAAUUGACC